This 161-nucleotide ribosomal RNA is filed under the name Cynosciadium digitatum. Its description in RNAcentral is "5.8S ribosomal RNA". It matches the Rfam family "5.8S ribosomal RNA". Rfam says of the family: 5.8S ribosomal RNA (5.8S rRNA) is a component of the large subunit of the eukaryotic ribosome. It is transcribed by RNA polymerase I as part of the 45S precursor that also contains 18S and 28S rRNA. RNAcentral also lists the same sequence under 3 other names. The record is from RNAcentral. Lineage: Eukaryota; Viridiplantae; Streptophyta; Magnoliopsida; Apiales; Apiaceae.
AAACGACUCUCGGCAACGGAUAUCCCGGCUCUCGCAUCGAUGAAGAACGUAGCGAAAUGCGAUACUUGGUGUGAAUUGCAGAAUCCCGUGAACCAUCGAGUCUUUGAACGCAAGUUGCGCCCGAGGCCUCGGCUAAGGGCACGUCUGCCUGGGUGUCACGU